Molecule: ribosomal RNA, 428 nt
Filed under: Verrucomicrobiota bacterium
Lineage: Bacteria; Pseudomonadati; Verrucomicrobiota
Description: Verrucomicrobia bacterium partial 16S ribosomal RNA
Rfam family: Bacterial small subunit ribosomal RNA
Source: RNAcentral
UAGGGAAUCUUCCGCAAUGGACGAAAGUCUGACGGAGCAACGCCGCGUGAGUGAAGAAGGAUUUCGGUUCGUAAAACUCUGUUGUUAGGGAAGAAAAAAUGUAUAGUAACUAUAUACAAAAGAGACGGUACCUAACCAGAAAGCCACGGCUAACUACGUGCCAGCAGCCGCGGUAAUACGUAGGGGGCUAGCGUUAUCCGGAUUUACUGGGCGUAAAGGGUGCGUAGGUGGUCCUUCAAGUCGGUGGUUAAAGGCUACGGCUCAACCGUAGUAAGCCGCCGAAACUGGAGGACUUGAGUGCAGGAGAGGAAAGUGGAAUUCCCAGUGUAGCGGUGAAAUGCGUAGAUAUUGGGAGGAACACCAGUAGCGAAGGCGGCUUUCUGGACUGCAACUGACACUGAGGCACGAAAGCGUGGGUAGCAAACAGG